This 490-nucleotide ribosomal RNA is filed under the name uncultured bacterium. RNAcentral's name for it is "partial 16S ribosomal RNA". It matches the Rfam family "Bacterial small subunit ribosomal RNA", at positions 29 to 507 of the family's 1533-position model. The record is from RNAcentral.
AGUGAACGCUGGCGGCAGGCCUAACACAUGCAAGUCGAACGGCAGCACAAGAGAGCUUGCUCUCUGGGUGGCGAGUGGCGGACGGGUGAGGAAUGCAUCGGAAUCUGCCCAUUUGUGGGGGAUAACCUCGGGAAACCGGGACUAAUACCGCAUACGACCUACGGGUGAAAGCAGGGGAUCUUCGGACCUUGCGCAGAUGGAUGAGCCGAUGCCGGAUUAGCUAGUUGGAGGGGUAAAGGCCCACCAAGGCGACGAUCCGUAGCUGGUCUGAGAGGAUGAUCAGCCACACUGGGACUGAGACACGGCCCAGACUCCUACGGGAGGCAGCAGUGGGGAAUACUGGACAAUGGGCGCAAGCCUGAUCCAGCCAUGCCGCGUGUGUGAAGAAGGCCUUCGGGUUGUAAAGCACUUUUGUUGGGAAAGAAAAGCAGCCGGUUAAUACCCGGUUGUCAUGACGGUACCCAAAGAAUAAGCACCGGCUAACUUCGUG